Molecule: long non-coding RNA, 424 nt
Organism: Helianthus annuus (common sunflower)
Lineage: Eukaryota; Viridiplantae; Streptophyta; Magnoliopsida; Asterales; Asteraceae
Exons: 2
Source: RefSeq, a predicted model, not a curated record
GCAGAUUUCAAUUGGGAUGAUGAAAUUCAACGUCUGAACAUCUCUCAACCAGAAAUCCAGAGUGCUGCUCAAAACAUAGCAUUCAUGACUUCAGAGGAAAAGGACUCUUCGCCAGAUGCUGAGCCUCAAGCUGAGAACUUUGCAUUCAUGACCAAAAUCCUGUCAGCUCCUGUUCAUGGACUCACUGCUGAAGAGAAAAAGUUGAUGUGAAAUGUGAAGAGACACUUGGGGGAGAACAAGUUUUAAAUUCUGAUUCACAAAAACCUUGUUUUGAUGAAAAUAAUCCUGAUCUUAUUUUGGGACAAAGUAUUUUUAGCAUGUUACUUUCUUUAGCUGGUAAUGGGCCUGAUGUUUUGGGCAAGACUGAUGAUGUUUGUGUUGAAACUGUGAACGUUAAUUAUGGUGAUGAUUUUUCUUCGGUUAA